UGUCUUGACUGUCGAUGGUCUCAUCAGUAAAUCAGGCGAUACAGUGACUCUAGUCUCUCGCCCCCCUGCUCUGAAUGACAUUUUCACUGCUGCCGACUUACAUGAAGUUGUAGAUUCCUAUCUCAGCCACUCAUCUUGGCCUGUCUGGCAGUUUUCGUGCACAAAAUCUGCUAAAUUGGAAGAGUGCUGGAAGCCAAAUGUGAAGAAUGCUCUGCAGAUGGUUUCAAUACUUCUUCCAGGAACACCCAUCAUAAAUGCUGGCGAUGAGCUGAGUGGUGGUCUUAUCAGGCCGGAACAUGGUCUUCCGGUCACUGUUUCAGACACUACUCCCCCUCCGGCAGUGAGCAACGGAAGUCCCAAACUAGUUGAAGCAGGCAGCAGCACCAAACAAAUUCUUCAGAAACUUGUAGAAAUUCGCAGCCUGCCUGCAUUUGCACAAGGAAUCUCUGAAGCAAAAGUGCUUCAUCAAGAUUCAUUGUUUGCCUUCACCAGAAUAAAGAGAGGUAGCCUCAGUUUUCUGGUAGCAUUUAAUCCUGCUGAUGAAACAGUUUUUGCUGAUUUCUCUGAAAUGAAGAGCAUUCCCUCUAACCUGACUGUAGAGGUUUGGUCUCAGAAGCUUUCACCGUUUCCAAUAAAAUUGAGUGACACGCUUAGAAGUGAUGCUGUGAUAAUACCUCCCGAAACAGCUCUUCUUGUUUCUUUCAUGCCGCAAGUGUAA
Molecule: long non-coding RNA, 718 nt
Filed under: Bemisia tabaci
Lineage: Eukaryota; Metazoa; Arthropoda; Insecta; Hemiptera; Aleyrodidae
Description: lncRNA ENSSSA2NGG013833
Source: RNAcentral